This 468-nucleotide ribosomal RNA is filed under the name uncultured bacterium. RNAcentral describes it as "partial 16S ribosomal RNA". It matches the Rfam family "Bacterial small subunit ribosomal RNA", at positions 28 to 507 of the family's 1533-position model. The record is from RNAcentral.
GACGAACGCUGGCGGCGUGCUUAAUACAUGCAAGUCGAACGGAAAGGGCCUGCUUUUGUGGUGUGCGCGAGAGGCGAACGGGGGAGUGACACGUGAGGAACAUGCGCUUGACAGUGGGAUAACUUCAGGAAACUGGGUAGAAAACCGGAUAGGAGAUCCUGCUGCAUGGGGGGGGUAGGAAAGAGGCGGAGGUUGGGGAUGGACUGGCGGCUUAUCAGCUUGUUGGUGGGGUAGUGGCUUACCAAGGCAUUGAGGGGUAGCCGCCCUGAGAGGGUGACCGGCCCCAGUGGGCCUCGGAUGCGACCCAGACUCCUACGGGGGGCAGCGGCGGAAGAUCUUGCGCGAUGGGCGGAAGCAUGGUGCAGCGUCGCCGCGUCCGAGAUGACGGCCGUCGGGUUGUAAACCGCGUUAGCGUGUGACGAUCAGUCAGUGACGGUAAUGGGUAAAGAAGCACCGGCUAACUACGUG